UCUCCGUUGGUGAACCAGCGGAGGGAUCAUUAAUGAGUUGCAAAACUCCCAAGACCUUUGUGAACCUUACCUAUACCGUUUCCUCGGCGGGCGGCGGCAAGCCGUGACCGGUUUCCCCCUCGCCCCUUUCAUCGGGGGCGGGAGGGAACAGGGCCCGCCGGAGGCACCCUAAACUCUUGUUUUCAGUUGGUCUCUCUGAGUCGUACUUUGUAAAUAAGUCAAAACUUUCAACAACGGAUCUCUUGGUUCUG
This 251-nucleotide unclassified non-coding RNA is filed under the name soil metagenome. RNAcentral's name for it is "partial contains small subunit ribosomal RNA, internal transcribed spacer 1, and 5.8S ribosomal RNA". The record is from RNAcentral.